CACAUGUAUAAAAUCAGCUGUGCCCUGAGGUGGGGUGCAGAACUUACUCUGAAACAUGCGUGCUGUGUUUUUGUUGUCAACUUCUGUCUGCAAUUGCAUUAAAUAAAGGUUUGAUUGAUUUACUUAAAGAAGAUAUUGCCUGACUGCUGAUUUCACCAAUAAGCCAAAGAUUGACAAGGGAGAAGGAACAUACCACGACAGUCCCAUGGUGUUUAUACUUGCAUACUAUUGUUUGUACAAAUGAACGUGGUACCUUCAGGCAUUUCGAAAUUGCUCCCAAGGAUCAACCAGACUUGUGGAUGUCUACAAUUGUUUUUCUGAAGUCUUGGCAGAUUUCUUUUGAUUUUCCCAUGAUGUCAAGCAAAGAGGCACUGAGUUUGAAGAUUGCUGGAUGAUACGGUACAAUUAAUUGCAUACAAGGUUCAUAGUCUGUGUCUUGAGAUAACACCCAAGGAUGAAAAUGAAAGAGACGGAAUGGAGAUCAGCAUCACAUGGGCAUAGAAUGGAGUGGAUGGACAGUUCUUUCCCCAGUCUUAGGUGGAAGCGGCACAUGAGGAGCAGGGGAUAACCGAUGGCACGGGCGGAAUUCUGGAGAUUGAGUAUACAUCAAGAUACCAGGCGGGGGUGUUGGGACAGCGUUGGUCUGGUCCACACACAGUACUCCUUACAGCACCUGCAGCGGUAAAGAUCGUCACGCCGCUCCUCGGUGGGUGCAUAGUUCUCACGUGAAGUGGGGUCCAGCUGCAUAAUGGGUGUGCUUGAAGACGUCAUGACAGAGGAAGCGGAGCUAAUGAGAGAAAGAAAGACUAGAUUCACUGUAGAUAGACAGAUGGGUUGGGUCUGGGAGCUACUUUAAACACCAUAGUUGGGUUGGGUUAGCUGCUUUAUUGGUUAAUGCAUCAUAUGAAAGGAUCGAUUUUGGGGUAAUUGUACUCUAAACAACAUUUUGGAGGCAUUGAUGUGAAAGUCAAGCCAUGGUUGAAGCCGUUUUAGGUUUGGUAUAUAAAGACCCGGUAUUCUCUGUAUGAUUCAAGCGCUCGGUCCGACAGUCAAGGCUGUUGGGCUGACGGUUUCAUCAUUGCAUAAAGAUGAUUGUUUGAAGAAAUGACCAAGUCUCUCUCAGUACUGAAUUUCCAUGGCAACAGCCAAUAUAUCUCUGUUGCUAGUCAGGAACUUAAUUGGUUCCUCUCGCUGGUGUAGUCAUUGUGUGUGUUAUAGGACUGUUCCAUCUCACUUCAUCUUACCUGACCUCAGGCCGAAUUCCUCGCUCCUCCCAACUCCAAGGCUGUCCUACCUUAUCAGUGACUGAAACCAGACUGUUGCCCUUUGCCUCCCGCCUUAGAAUCCAUGAGAUUUAACAAUAACAUAUUUGACAGAAUGUAAACUUCCUGCCUCCCCCUCUUGUCUCACUCAGUAACUUUCCAUACACUUAGUUCUUAUCCACCCUCCAUUUACCAGCAUAUACAGUACCAGUCAAAAGUUUGGACACCUACUCAUUCCAGGGUUUUUCUUUAUUUUUACUAUUUUCUACAUUGUAGAAUAAUAGUGAAGACUUCAAAACUAUGAAAUAACACAUAUGGAAUCCUGAAGUAACCAAAAAAGUGUUAAAUAUACUGCUCAAAAAAAUAAAGGGAACACUUAAACAACACAUCCUAGAUCUGAAUGAAAGAAAUAAUCUUAUUAAAUACUUUUUUCUUUACAUAGUUGAAUGUGCUGACAACAAAAUCACACAAAAAUAAUCAAUGGAAAUCCAAUUUAUCAACCCAUGGAGGUCUGGAUUUGGAGUCGCACUCAAAAUUAAAGUGGAAAACCACACUACAGGCUGAUCCAACUUUGAUAUAAUGUCCUUAAAACAAGUCAAAAUGAGGCUCAGUAGUGUGUGUGGCCUCCACGUGCCUGUAUGACCUCCCUACAACGCCUGGGCAUGCUCCUGAUGAGGUGGCGGAUGGUCUCCUGGAGGGAUCUCCUCCCAGACCAGGACUAAAGCAUCCGCCAACUCCUGGACAGUCUGUGGUGCAACGUGGCGUUGGUGGAUGGAGUGAGACAUGAUGUCCCAGAUGUGCUCAAUUGGAUUCAGGUCUGGGGAACGGGCGGGCCAGUCCAUAGCAUCAAUGCCUUCCUCUUGCAGGAACUGCUGACACACUCCAGCCACAUGAGGUCUAGCAUUGUCUUGCAUUAGGAGGAACCCAGGGCCAACUGCACCAGCAUAUGGUCUCACAAGGGGUCUGAGGAUCUCAUCUCGCUACCUAAUGGCAGUCAAGCUACCUCUGGCGAGCACAUGGAGUGCUGUGCGGCCCCCCAAAGAAAUGCCACCCCACACCAUGACUGACCCACCGCCAAACCGGUCAUGCUGGAGGAUGUUGCAGGCAGCAGAACGUUCUCCACGGCAUCUCCAGACUCUGUCACGUCUGUCACGUGCUCAGUGUGAACCUGCUUUCAUCUGUGAAGAGCACAGGGCGCCAGUGGCGAAUUUGCCAAUCUUGGUGUUCUCUGGCAAAUGCCAAACGCCCUGCACGGUGUUGGGCUGUAAGCACAACCCCCACAUGUGGACGUCGGGCCCUCAUACCACCC
Molecule: long non-coding RNA, 2571 nt
Filed under: Salmo salar (Atlantic salmon)
Lineage: Eukaryota; Metazoa; Chordata; Actinopteri; Salmoniformes; Salmonidae
Description: lncRNA (ENSSSAG00000087392.1)
Source: RNAcentral